This is a long non-coding RNA of Erigeron canadensis, 1058 nucleotides long. RefSeq lists it as uncharacterized. The transcript has 2 exons. NCBI's taxonomy places the organism in Eukaryota, Viridiplantae, Streptophyta, Magnoliopsida, Asterales, Asteraceae. The record is from RefSeq and is a predicted model, not a curated record.
AAUAGUCGAUAUAAACAAUGUCUAUUGGUAACCUCAUCAUCAUCUAUAUAUAUGUGCGAUCCACUUUUUAAGGACCAGCCAAAUUUCUCCAGCUCCGAUCUACUCUAUGCAGAUCGAUCAAGAGGUACAUUAGCAUCUCCUUUUAACUUUUGCUAUGGAUAAACAAAGAAUGGAGACCUUUAUGAAGGAGUUUAAGCGUCUUGAACUCCUACCAGAAGAGAUCAAAAUCAACAAUCUUGACGGCAACAAUGUUAUCGGAACCACUGGAUUUGGGAAGGUGUACAAAGAAGAAAUAUCUCACUCUACGGGCGCAUCAUGAUUUGCAUUUUAAGUGUCUAGAUCGUAAACAUGGGCAAGGAGGUCCAUGUUUUGUAAGUAUAUCAUGAUGCUUUCCCGAUACACAUGGAAAAGUUUUCUCUUUCUUCUUGGCUUUUGUGAUGAAGAGGAGAGAAUAUCUUAUUUUACGUUUAUACAUCUUGUAUAAGGAAGCCUAGAUCGCCAUUUAAGUUCCACUGCUCUUAUGUGGACAUAAGGUAUCAAUGGAUGAGUUUGGUACUAUGAACGGCUGAUCUAUUUUUUUUAUAAGAAUUUAGAUCGUAAAUAUGGACAGGGACAGGGAGACCUUGAGUUUUGGAAGAAGAUCUCGAUGAUUUCCUAUUAUAAAGAAAAGAUUUGUUAAAAGCUACAACACGUGAUUGAAAGUCAUCAUUGUAUAUAUUGCAAAGCAUCUUCCACCGAAGAAAAUAAUACAAGAUAAUUUCCAAUUAGGUAUAAAAAAUUUGAUAUUAUCUUAUAAUGAAAGUGGUGAGAAUAUCUUUUUAUAUGCACAAGUUUAUAAGAUCUCACAAGAAAAAAAUAAUGUAAAAUAUGUUUUGGUGCUGCUCUACGAGGAACUAAGACUAACGUUAUCUAAUGGGCUAUUGCUCGGUGUUUUCUUCCUUAGUUAUUUGUUAUAGUGAACCUAGAUUAAGGAGUAUUGUUGUUUGUUUUAUGCGUUUUGAAUAACGAAUAUGUAAAAGAUUAUUAUAAUUUGGUAACUUGGUGGAUAAAGUUUUACA